AUCCAACUGACAAGUUUCAGAUAGGACGAAACGGACGUUUUGGAU
Schistosoma mattheei is the source of this 45-nucleotide non-coding RNA. The record is from Rfam. Lineage: Eukaryota; Metazoa; Platyhelminthes; Trematoda; Strigeidida; Schistosomatidae.